GACGAACGCUGGCGGCGUGCCUAAUACAUGCAAGUUGAGCGCUGAAGGUUGGUACUUGUACCAACUGGAUGAGCAGCGAACGGGUGAGUAACGCGUGGGUAAUCUGCCUUUGAGCGGGGGACAACAUUUGGAAACGAAUGCUAAUACCGCAUAAAAACUUUAAACACAAGUUUUAAGUUUGAAAGAUGCAAUUGCAUCACUCAAAGAUGAUCCCGCGUUGUAUUAGCUAGUUGGUGAGGUAAAGGCUCACCAAGGCGAUGAUACAUAGCCGACCUGAGAGGGUGAUCGGCCACAUUGGGACUGAGACACGGCCCAAACUCCUACGGGAGGCAGCAGGAGGGAAUCUUCGGCAAUGGACGAAAGUCUGACCGAGCAACGCCGCGUGAGUGAAGAAGGUUUUCGGAUCGUAAAACUCUGUUGGUAGAGAAGAACGUUGGUGAGAGUGGAAAGCUCAUCAAGUGACGGUAACUACCCAGAAAGGGACGGCUAACUACGUG
RNAcentral lists this ribosomal RNA (497 nucleotides) under uncultured bacterium. Its description in RNAcentral is "partial 16S ribosomal RNA". It matches the Rfam family "Bacterial small subunit ribosomal RNA", at positions 28 to 507 of the family's 1533-position model. The record is from RNAcentral.